GACGUAGGGCGCGAGCGUUGUCCGGAAUUAUUGGGCGUAAAGAGCUCGUAGGCGGUUUGUCGCGUCGACUGUGAAAACCUACAGCUUAACUGUGGGCUUGCAGUCGAUACGGGCAGACUUGAGUUCGGUAGGGGAGACUGGAAUUCCUGGUGUAGCGGUGAAAUGCGCAGAUAUCAGGAGGAACACCGGCGGCGAAGGCGGGUCUCUGGGCCGAUACUGACGCUGAGGAGCGAAAGCGUGGGGAGCGAACAGG
This 253-nucleotide ribosomal RNA is filed under the name uncultured bacterium. Its description in RNAcentral is "partial 16S ribosomal RNA". It matches the Rfam family "Bacterial small subunit ribosomal RNA", at positions 524 to 776 of the family's 1533-position model. The record is from RNAcentral.